This 303-nucleotide ribosomal RNA is filed under the name uncultured bacterium. RNAcentral's name for it is "partial 16S ribosomal RNA". It matches the Rfam family "Bacterial small subunit ribosomal RNA", at positions 507 to 807 of the family's 1533-position model. The record is from RNAcentral.
AGCAGUAGCCACGGGAAUACAGAGGGUGCAAGCGUUAAUCGGAAUUACUGGGCGUAAAGCGCGCGUAGGUGGUUUGUUAAGUUGGAUGUGAAAUCCCCGGGCUCAACCUGGGAACUGCAUCCAAAACUGGCAAGCUAGAGUAUGGUAGAGGGUGGUGGAAUUUCCUGUGUAGCGGUGAAAUGCGUAGAUAUAGGAAGGAACACCAGUGGCGAAGGCGACCACCUGGACUGAUACUGACACUGAGGUGCGAAAGCGUGGGGAGCAAACAGGAUUAGAUACCCCAGUAGUCCCUGUCUCUUAUAC